Molecule: ribosomal RNA, 277 nt
Filed under: uncultured bacterium
Lineage: Bacteria
Description: partial 16S ribosomal RNA
Rfam family: Bacterial small subunit ribosomal RNA
Source: RNAcentral
AGCGAACGCUGGCGGCGUGCCUAACACAUGCAAGUCGAACGUGAACGGGGGCAACUCCUAGUAAAGUGGCGUACGGGUGAGUAACGCGUAGGUAAUCUACCGAAGAGUCUGGAAUAACCGGCCGAAAGGCUGGCUAAUACUGGAUAGAGCGAUGGAACUCGUAAAUGGGUUUUUCGGGAAAGGGAGGUUGUAAGACCCUUCGCUCUUCGAUGAGCCUGCGUCUCAUUAGCUAGUUGGUAAGGUAAUGGCUUACCAAGGCUUUGAUGGGUAGCUGGUC